Molecule: long non-coding RNA, 391 nt
Organism: Pyrgilauda ruficollis (rufous-necked snowfinch)
Lineage: Eukaryota; Metazoa; Chordata; Aves; Passeriformes; Passeridae
Exons: 3
Source: RefSeq, a predicted model, not a curated record
GCUGUCAUCGGGGGCUGUCACUGGUGGCACCGCUGGGCUGCCAGGGAGUCCCAGGACAGGUCCCCACCACCGGUGUCACUCUCAGGGCCCCCAUGGGUGUUCCCCAGCUCUGCCCCACCUCGGGAUCUGCAAGUGACCAACGCGGAGCUGUCGGGACCCCCCGCGGGACAGCGGGACCCCUGUGACUACGAGAACAUGCUGUGACACUGGGGGGCACUGGGGACACUGGGGGGCACUGGGGACACUGGGGACACUGGGGACACUGGGGGUCCCUGCCCCAGGACACCCCCUGUGUUUCUCCCCACCCCAGCUCCCCUGGGUGCCCACCGUGCCUGGGUUUGGGGGUUCCAAACUCCAGAGCUCCCCGUUCCAGCGCUCCCAGUGCCCCCAG